UAUGGCUGUACCACCUGGAAUGUGCCUGAUCUAGGAAGCUAAGCAGGGUCAGGCCUGGUUAGUACUUGGAUGGGAGAUCAUAAUUAAAGCAAAUACAGCUACCA
RNAcentral lists this ribosomal RNA (104 nucleotides) under Microcebus murinus (gray mouse lemur). The record is from RNAcentral. Lineage: Eukaryota; Metazoa; Chordata; Mammalia; Primates; Cheirogaleidae.